CGGCGAGUGAGCGGGAAGAGCUCAAAUUUGAAAUCUGGCAGUCUUCGAUUGUCCGAGUUGUAAUCUAUAGAGGCGUUUUCCGUGCCGGACCGUGUCCAAGUCUCCUGGAAAGGAGUAUCAAAGAGGGUGAUAAUCCCGUACUUAACACGACCACCGGUGCUCUGUGAUACGUCUUCUACGAGUCGAGUUGUUUGGGAAUGCAGCUCAAAAUGGGUGGUGAAUUCCAUCUAAAGCUAAAUAUUGGCGAGAGACCGAUAGCGAACAAGUACCGUGAGGGAAAGAUGAAAAGCACUUUGGAAAGAGAGUUAAACAGUACGUGAAAUUGUUGAAAGGGAAACGAUUGAAGUCAGUCGUGUUCUUUGGAUUCAGCCAGUUCUGCUGGUCUACUUCCUUGGAACGGGUCAACAUCAGUUUUGUCCGGUGGAUAAAGGUAGUAGGAAUGUGACUUCUCCGGAAGUGUUAUAGCCUAUUAUCACAUACACUGGGUGAGACUGAGGACUGCAGCUCGCCUUUAUGGCCGGCCUUCGGGCACGUUCGAGCUUAGGAUGUUGACAUAAUGGCUUUAAACGACCCG
RNAcentral lists this ribosomal RNA (574 nucleotides) under Trichosporon asahii. RNAcentral describes it as "partial large subunit ribosomal RNA". It matches the Rfam family "Eukaryotic large subunit ribosomal RNA", at positions 87 to 651 of the family's 3401-position model. The record is from RNAcentral. Lineage: Eukaryota; Fungi; Basidiomycota; Tremellomycetes; Trichosporonales; Trichosporonaceae.